This 505-nucleotide ribosomal RNA is filed under the name uncultured bacterium. Its description in RNAcentral is "partial 16S ribosomal RNA". It matches the Rfam family "Bacterial small subunit ribosomal RNA", at positions 28 to 507 of the family's 1533-position model. The record is from RNAcentral.
GACGAACGCUGGCGGCGUGCCUAAUACAUGCAAGUAGAACGCACAGUUUAUACCGUAGCUUGCUACACCAUAGACUGUGAGUUGCGAACGGGUGAGUAACGCGUAGGUAACCUGCCUGGUAGCGGGGGAUAACUAUUGGAAACGAUAGCUAAUACCGCAUAAUAUUGAUUAUUGCAUGAUAAUUGAUUGAAAGAUGCUAUUGCAUCACUACCAGAUGGACCUGCGUUGUAUUAGCUAGUAGGUGAGGUAACGGCUCACCUAGGCGACGAUACAUAGCCGACCGGAGAGGGUGAUCGGCCACACUGGGACUGAGACACGGCCCAGACUCCUACGGGAGGCAGCAGUAGGGAAUCUUCGGCAAUGGACGAAAGUCUGACCGAGCAACGCCGCGUGAGUGAAGAAGGUUUUCGGAUCGGAAAGCUCUGUUGUAAGAGAAGAACGGGUGUGAGAGUGGAAAGUUCACACUGUGACGGUAUCUGAACAGAAAGGGACGGCUAACUACGUG